GAAAUGCGAUAAGUAGUGUGAAUUGCAGAAUUCCGUGAAUCAUCGAAUCUUUGAACGCACAUUGCGCCUCCUGGUAGUCCGUGAGGCAUGCCUGUUCGAGCGUCACUAAAAUCAACUCAACCACUUUUGUGUUUGGUCAUGGAGGAAGAGUCCGUCUUGUUGUGGUCUCCCCUCCCAAAAUCAACGGCGGAAGGUUGCUGGUACUCGGCGUAGUAGUAUUAUUCGCCCAUUAUCCAGUGUUGUUCCUGCCACCAAAUACCCACAAUUCUCUUGAUUGACCUCGGAUCAGGUAGGGAUACCCGCUGAACUUAA
RNAcentral lists this unclassified non-coding RNA (312 nucleotides) under uncultured Geopora. RNAcentral's name for it is "sequence contains ITS1". The stretch from base 1 to 105 matches the Rfam family "5.8S ribosomal RNA", at positions 50 to 154 of the family's 154-position model. The record is from RNAcentral. Lineage: Eukaryota; Fungi; Ascomycota; Pezizomycetes; Pezizales; Pyronemataceae.